CCCGGAUGGUGGAAUCGGUAGACACAAGGGAUUUAAAAUCCCUCGGCGUUCGCGCUGUGCGGGUUCAAGUCCCGCUCCGGGUACCA
This 86-nucleotide transfer RNA is filed under the name Salmonella enterica subsp. enterica serovar Newport. RNAcentral's name for it is "tRNA-Leu". It matches the Rfam family "tRNA". From Rfam's summary of the family: Transfer RNA (tRNA) molecules are approximately 80 nucleotides in length. The record is from RNAcentral. Lineage: Bacteria; Pseudomonadati; Pseudomonadota; Gammaproteobacteria; Enterobacterales; Enterobacteriaceae.